GGAGAGAUCGCAUAGUGGUCGAGUGCGCUCGCUUGGAAAGCGAGUAAACCUUCACCGGUUUCGGGGGUUCGAAUCCCCCUCUCUCCGCCA
This 90-nucleotide transfer RNA is filed under the name Candidatus Doudnaibacteriota bacterium. RNAcentral describes it as "Candidatus Doudnabacteria bacterium tRNA-Ser". It matches the Rfam family "tRNA". From Rfam's summary of the family: Transfer RNA (tRNA) molecules are approximately 80 nucleotides in length. Their secondary structure includes four short double-helical elements and three loops (D, anti-codon, and T loops). Further hydrogen bonds mediate the characteristic L-shaped molecular structure. tRNAs have two regions of fundamental functional importance: the anti-codon, which is responsible for specific mRNA codon recognition, and the 3' end, to which the tRNAs corresponding amino acid is attached (by aminoacyl-tRNA synthetases). tRNAs cope with the degeneracy of the genetic code in two manners: having more than one tRNA (with a specific anti-codon) for a particular amino acid; and 'wobble' base-pairing, i.e. permitting non-standard base-pairing at the 3rd anti-codon position. The record is from RNAcentral. Lineage: Bacteria; Candidatus Doudnaibacteriota.